UGCACGCUGGCGGCGUGCCUAAUACAUGCACGUCGAGCGAACGGACGAGAAGCUUGCUUUUCUGAUGUUAGCGGCGGACGGGUGAGUAACACGUGGAUAACCUACCUAUAAGACUGGGAUAACUUCGGGAAACCGGAGCUAAUACCGGAUAAUAUUUUGAACCGCAUGGUUCAAAAGUGAAAGACGGUCUUGCUGUCACUUAUAGAUGGAUCCGCGCUGCAUUAGCUAGUUGGUAAGGUAACGGCUUACCAAGGCAACGAUGCAUAGCCGACCUGAGAGGGUGAUCGGCCACACUGGAACUGAGACACGGUCCAGACUCCUACGGGAGGCAGCAGUAGGGAAUCUUCCGCAAUGGGCGAAAGCCUGACGGAGCAACGCCGCGUGAGUGAUGAAGGUCUUCGGAUCGUAAAACUCUGUUAUUAGGGAAGAACAUAUGUGUAAGUAACUGUGCACAUCUUGACGGUACCUAAUCAGAAAGCCACGGCUAACUACGUG
RNAcentral lists this ribosomal RNA (495 nucleotides) under uncultured bacterium. Its description in RNAcentral is "partial 16S ribosomal RNA". It matches the Rfam family "Bacterial small subunit ribosomal RNA", at positions 30 to 507 of the family's 1533-position model. The record is from RNAcentral.